GCAGCCGCGGUAAUACGUAGGUGGCAAGCGUUAUCCGGAAUUACUGGGUGUAAAGGGUGUGUAGGCGGGACUGCAAGUCAGAUGUGAAAAUUACAGGCUCAACCUGUAACCUGCGUCUGAAACUGUAGUUCUUGAGAGUGGGAGAGGUAGAUGGAAUUCCUGGUGUAGCGGUGAAAUGCGUAGAUAUCAGGAGGAACACCGGUGGCGAAGGCGAUCUACUGGACCACAACUGACGCUGAGACACGAAAGCGUGGGGAGCAAACAGGAUUAGAUACCCC
Molecule: ribosomal RNA, 278 nt
Filed under: uncultured bacterium
Lineage: Bacteria
Description: partial 16S ribosomal RNA
Rfam family: Bacterial small subunit ribosomal RNA
Source: RNAcentral